UUUCUAGUGGUCUAGUGAUUUAGACUCUGCACUUAAACUGCCAAGGGCACAGGUUCAAUCCCUGGCUGGGGAA
RNAcentral lists this transfer RNA (73 nucleotides) under Ovis aries (sheep). It matches the Rfam family "tRNA". From Rfam's summary of the family: Transfer RNA (tRNA) molecules are approximately 80 nucleotides in length. Their secondary structure includes four short double-helical elements and three loops (D, anti-codon, and T loops). The record is from Rfam by way of RNAcentral. Lineage: Eukaryota; Metazoa; Chordata; Mammalia; Artiodactyla; Bovidae.